RNAcentral lists this ribosomal RNA (759 nucleotides) under Triticum aestivum (bread wheat). Its description in RNAcentral is "partial small subunit ribosomal RNA". The record is from RNAcentral. Lineage: Eukaryota; Viridiplantae; Streptophyta; Magnoliopsida; Poales; Poaceae.
AUGCUCUCUCAAGGUUUCAAAAGGUCUAAUUAUGAUAGUUGUGUUUAUUUGAAAACUGUCAAAGGUUCAACUAUUUAUUUGCUCCUUUAUGUUGAUGAUAUGCUUAUUGCUGCAAAGAGUAUGUCAGAGAUUAAUGAACUAAAGAAGCAAUUGAGUAAUGAAUUUGAGAUGAAGGAUUUGGGUGCAGCAAAAAAAAUUCUUGGCAUGGAAAUAUCCAGAGAUAGACCGUCUGGAAAAGUAUAUCUAAGUCAGAAGGGAUAUAUUGAUAAAGUUCUUUAUCGUUUUAAUAUGCACAAUGCCAAGCCGGUGAGUACUCCAUUAGCUGCACACUUCAAAUUAUCAUCAGCUUUAUGUCCUAAGUCAGAUGCAGAUAUUGAGUACAUGUCUAGAGUUCCCUAUUCGAGUGUAGUUGGUUCACUUAUGUAUGCCAUGGUUUGUUCUCGUCCGGAUUUAUCAUAUGCAUUGAGUGUUGUCAGUAGAUACAUGGCUAAUCCUGGAAAAGAGCAUUGGAAAGCAGUUCAGUGGAUUUUCAGAUAUCUGCGUGGUACUUCUAAUGCUUAUUUACAGUUUGGGAAAACUGGAGAUGGACUUGUUGGUUUUGUUGAUUCUGAUUUUGUUCGUGAUUUGGAUAAGAGAAGAUCACUCACAGGUUAUGUUUUCACCAUUGGUGGUUGUGCUGUGAGUUGGAGAGCAACUUUGCAGUCUAUUGUGGCUUGUUCCACUACUGAUGCCGAGUAUAUGGCUAUUUCUGAGGCAUGA